GGGUUGUGAGGUUAAGCGACUAAGCGUACACGGUGGAUGCCCUGGCAGUCAGAGGCGAUGAAGGACGUGCUAAUCUGCGAAAAGCGCCGGCGAGGUGAUAUGAACCUUUGACCCGGCGAUGUCCGAAUGGGGAAACCCAGUGCAAUCCGUUGCACUAUCGUUAACUGAAUACAUAGGUUAACGAGGCGAACCGGGGGAACUGAAACAUCUAAGUACCCCGAGGAAAAGAAAUCAACCGAGAUUCCCCCAGUAGCGGCGAGCGAACGGGGAGCAGCCCGGAGUCUGAAUCAGCUUGUGUGUUAGUGGAACGGUCUGGAAAGUCCGACGGUACAGGGUGAUAGUCCCGUACACGAAAGCACACUUGCUGUGAACUCGAAGAGUAGGGCGGGACACGUGGUAUCCUGUCUGAAUAUGGGGGGACCAUCCUCCAAGGCUAAAUACUCCUGACUGACCGAUAGUGAACCAGUACCGUGAGGGAAAGGCGAAAAGAACCCCGGCGAGGGGAGUGAAAAAGAACCUGAAACCGUGUACGUACAAGCAGUGGGAGCCUACUUGUUAGGUGACUGCGUACCUUUUGUAUAAUGGGUCAGCGACUUAUAUUCUGUAGCAAGGUUAACCGUAUAGGGGAGCCGAAGGGAAACCGAGUCUUAACUGGGCGUUAAGUUGCAGGGUAUAGACCCGAAACCCGGUGAUCUAGCCAUGGGCAGGUUGAAGGUUGGGUAACACUAACUGGAGGACCGAACCGACUAAUGUUGAAAAAUUAGCGGAUGACCUGUGGCUGGGGGUGAAAGGCCAAUCAAACCGGGAGAUAGCUGGUUCUCCCCGAAAGCUAUUUAGGUAGCGCCUCGUGAAUUCAUCUUCGGGGGUAGAGCACUGUUUCGGCUAGGGGGCCAUCCCGGCUUACCAACCCGAUGCAAACUACGAAUACCGAAGAAUGUUAUCACGGGAGACACACGGCGGGUGCUAACGUCCGUCGUGAAGAGGGAAACAACCCAGACCGCCAGCUAAGGUCCCAAAGUCAUGGUUAAGUGGGAAACGAUGUGGGAAGGCACAGACAGCCAGGAUGUUGGCUUAGAAGCAGCCAUCAUUUAAAGAAAGCGUAAUAGCUCACUGGUCGAGUCGGCCUGCGCGGAAGAUGUAACGGGGCUAAACCAUGCACCGAAGCUGCGGCAGCGACACUAUGUGUUGUUGGGUAGGGGAGCGUUCUGUAAGCCGUUGAAGGUGUCCUGUGAGGGGUGCUGGAGGUAUCAGAAGUGCGAAUGCUGACAUAAGUAACGAUAAAGCGGGUGAAAAGCCCGCUCGCCGGAAGACCAAGGGUUCCUGUCCAACGUUAAUCGGGGCAGGGUGAGUCGACCCCUAAGGCGAGGCCGAAAGGCGUAGUCGAUGGGAAACAGGUUAAUAUUCCUGUACUUGGUGUUACUGCGAAGGGGGGACGGAGAAGGCUAUGUCAGCCGGGCGACGGUUGUCCCGGUUUAAGCAUGUAGGCGGAGGUUCCAGGUAAAUCCGGUACCUUAUUAACGCUGAGGUGUGAUGACGAGGCACUACGGUGCUGAAGUGAUAAAUGCCCUGCUUCCAGGAAAAGCCUCUAAGCAUCAGGUAACACGAAAUCGUACCCCAAACCGACACAGGUGGUCAGGUAGAGAAUACCAAGGCGCUUGAGAGAACUCGGGUGAAGGAACUAGGCAAAAUGGUGCCGUAACUUCGGGAGAAGGCACGCUGAUAUGUAGGUGAAGUCCCUGCGGACGGAGCUGAAAUCAGUCGAAGAUACCAGCUGGCUGCAACUGUUUAUUAAAAACACAGCACUGUGCAAACACGAAAGUGGACGUAUACGGUGUGACGCCUGCCCGGUGCCGGAAGGUUAAUUGAUGGGGUCAGCGGCAACGCGAAGCUCUUGAUCGAAGCCCCGGUAAACGGCGGCCGUAACUAUAACGGUCCUAAGGUAGCGAAAUUCCUUGUCGGGUAAGUUCCGACCUGCACGAAUGGCGUAAUGAUGGCCAGGCUGUCUCCACCCGAGACUCAGUGAAAUUGAACUCGCUGUGAAGAUGCAGUGUACCCGCGGCAAGACGGAAAGACCCCGUGAACCUUUACUAUAGCUUGACACUGAACACUGGUCCUUGAUGUGUAGGAUAGGUGGGAGGCUUUGAAGCGUGGACGCCAGUCUGCGUGGAGCCAACCUUGAAAUACCACCCUUUAAUGGCUGGUGUUCUAACGUAGACCCGUAAUCCGGGUUGCGGACAGUGUCUGGUGGGUAGUUUGACUGGGGCGGUCUCCUCCCAAAGAGUAACGGAGGAGCACGAAGGUUGGCUAAUCCUGGUCGGACAUCAGGAGGUUAGUGCAAUGGCAUAAGCCAGCUUGACUGCGAGCGUGACGGCGCGAGCAGGUGCGAAAGCAGGUCAUAGUGAUCCGGUGGUUCUGAAUGGAAGGGCCAUCGCUCAACGGAUAAAAGGUACUCCGGGGAUAACAGGCUGAUACCGCCCAAGAGUUCAUAUCGACGGCGGUGUUUGGCACCUCGAUGUCGGCUCAUCACAUCCUGGGGCUGAAGUAGGUCCCAAGGGUAUGGCUGUUCGCCAUUUAAAGUGGUACGCGAGCUGGGUUUAGAACGUCGUGAGACAGUUCGGUCCCUAUCUGCCGUGGGCGCUGGAGAAUUGAGGGGGGCUGCUCCUAGUACGAGAGGACCGGAGUGGACGCAUCACUGGUGUUCGGGUUGUCAUGCCAAUGGCACUGCCCGGUAGCUAAAUGCGGAAGAGAUAAGUGCUGAAAGCAUCUAAGCACGAAACUUGCCCCGAGAUGAGUUCUCCCUGAGACCUUGAGUCUCCUGAAGGAACGUUGAAGACGACGACGUUGAUAGGUCGGGUGUGUAAGCGCAGCGAUGCGUUGAGCUAACCGAUACUAAUGAACCGUGAGGCUUAACCUUACAACGCCGAAGCUGUU
Molecule: ribosomal RNA, 2931 nt
Filed under: Enterobacter hormaechei
Lineage: Bacteria; Pseudomonadati; Pseudomonadota; Gammaproteobacteria; Enterobacterales; Enterobacteriaceae
Description: 23S ribosomal RNA
Rfam family: Bacterial large subunit ribosomal RNA
Source: RNAcentral